GUGAGGAAUAUUGGUCAAUGGGCGGGAGCCUGAACCAGCCAAGUCGCGUGAAGGAAGAAGGAUCUAUGGUUCGUAAACUUCUUUUGCAGGGGAAUAAAGUGCAGGACGUGUCCUGUUUUGUAUGUACCCUGAGAAUAAGGAUCGGCUAACUCCGUGCCAGCAGCCGCGGUAAUACGGAGGAUCCGAGCGUUAUCCGGAUUUAUUGGGUUUAAAGGGUGCGUAGGUGGUUUGAUAAGUCAGCGGUGAAAGUUUGCAGCUUAACUGUAAAAAUGCGUUGAAACUGUCGGACUUGAGUGUAAAUGAGGUAGGCGGAAUGCGUGGUGUAGCGGUGAAAUGCAUAGAUAUCACGCAGAACUCCGAUUGCGAAGGCAGCUUACUAAGCUACAACUGACACUGAAGCACGAAAGCGUGGGGAUCAAACAGGAUUAGAAACCCGAGUAGUCC
This 444-nucleotide ribosomal RNA is filed under the name uncultured bacterium. RNAcentral's name for it is "partial 16S ribosomal RNA". It matches the Rfam family "Bacterial small subunit ribosomal RNA", at positions 354 to 796 of the family's 1533-position model. The record is from RNAcentral.